This 449-nucleotide ribosomal RNA is filed under the name uncultured bacterium. RNAcentral describes it as "partial 16S ribosomal RNA". It matches the Rfam family "Bacterial small subunit ribosomal RNA", at positions 328 to 794 of the family's 1533-position model. The record is from RNAcentral.
GGGCCAGACUCCUACGGGAGGCAGCAGUGGGGAAUAUUGCACAAUGGGGGAAACCCUGAUGCAGCGACGCCGCGUGAGCGAUGAAGUAUUUCGGUCUGUAAAGCUCUAUCAGCAGGGAAGAAAAUGACGGUACCUGACUAAGAAGCCCCGGCUAACUACGUGCCAGCAGCCGCGGUAAUACGUAGGGGGCAAGCGUUAUCCGGAUUUACUGGGUGUAAAGGGAGCGUAGACGGCGGUGCAAGCCAGAUGUGAAAGCCCGGGGCUCAACCCCGGGACUGCAUUUGGAACUGUGCUGCUAGAGUGUCGGAGAGGCAGGCGGAAUUCCCAGUGUAGCGGUGAAAUGCGUAGAUAUUAGGAGGAACACCAGUGGCGAAGGCGGCCUGCUGGACGAUGACUGACGUUGAGGCUCGAAAGCGUGGGGAGCAAACAGGAUUAGAUACCCGUGUACU